This is a long non-coding RNA of Zalophus californianus (California sea lion), 598 nucleotides long. RefSeq lists it as uncharacterized. Lineage: Eukaryota; Metazoa; Chordata; Mammalia; Carnivora; Otariidae. The record is from RefSeq and is a predicted model, not a curated record. The transcript is spliced from 3 exons.
GAAAUCCCAGAUGGAAAAGACCCAUCAUUCAACAGCAGGGGUACAGUCUUAUACAACUCACAGCGCUCACCAUAGCACAUACCGUCCCCAACGUCCAAUCAGCCUCCGUGAUAUUUUGACGCCCAUACCAAACUAAGGGAAGAUGUUCCUGCCAUGCUAUCCUCCCGCAGCCAAUUUCAGAGAUCACUUAGAGGCAACUUAUGCUGAACUUCCAUUUUCAUCUAUGAAGGUUCUCUGUCUGGCAUCAAGGUACACUUCAGCCGCUGAGUGCCUGGUCGUACACCAAGGAGGAUCCGCCUUCCUGAGGCGCCAUCCUGCCCACCAGUACCCCUCAGGGUUGGGCAUGAGGACCACAAGCCCACAUCACCUGUAAGCUCGGAGACCAAGCGCACCCACUCCCACCCCCCCAGGCCCGCAGAACCAGAUUCCCUGGGUGGGACCAGGCUAGCAUGUUGACGAUUGCCCAGGACAUUCUGAUGCAGGUCGGGAGCUGCUGCUUCCCUGGCGGCUCAUGCUGGGCGCCUGCACCUUGUCUGCAACAGUGAGGCAGGUCCCUCCCAUCCAGCGAGUUCUGUGUAACCUCCCCAGAGGAGGCAGU